CGUUAUUCUAUUUUCCUCACAGUUACACGUUUACCACAUCAGAGAGAACAGAAAAAAGAGAGAGAAAGAACGCAGCAGAGAGAGGGGGAGAAGGCCGGUGGAGAUCAAGUGUCGCCGGAAGGACAAAGCCGGUGGAGAUCGGCGUUCACCAAGCAGCAGCGCCUCAUCCGCCUCCCCACCGCCAGACUGGUCUCAUCUAUUCAAGUUUGAGAGAGAGAAAGAAAGAGAGUGAAAGAAAAAAGUUUUAGGAAAGUGGAUUUGAUCCACACGAGCUCAAUCUCAGGCAAUAUCUGAUCACAGAGAACAGCCAAAUUCAGACGAAAUAACACUGGAGUAAGAAGAUAGGCUACAUAUAUGGCAGAGGCUGCGAUAUCCGCUCUUACUGAGAAGCUCAUUUCCUUGUUGAGCGAAGAAGCAACACUGUUACAAGACAUCCAUGAAGAAGUAGCUGACAUCAAAGAUGAACUGGAGAGCAUUCAGUCCUUCCUUAAGGAUGCAGAUGCAAGGGCCGCAGCAGAGGAGGACAUGAGCGAGGGUGUCAAAACUUGGGUGAAACAAGUCAAAGAAGUAGCUUUCCACAUGGAUGUUUUCAUGGACGAGUACUUGCUUGAGAUGGCACAACAUCAUCCCCAUCGGCUUCAGGGAUUCAGUUGGUUCCUCCAUAAAUCUGCUCGCUUAUUUUCAAUGUUAAAACCUCACCAUGAAACAGCCACUAAGAUUCAGAAGAUCAAAGCAUCAGUGCAGAAAAUCAAGGCAAGAAGUGAAAGAUAUGGCUUCCAAUCCACUGGUCAAGGAUCAAGCAGUGGUACUCAGAAUGUUAGGUGGCAAGACCCUCGAAAGGACUCCCUUUAUCUUGAGGAUACUAAUGUUGUUGGAAUUGAAUCUUCUAGAAAUGAAUUGAUAGGCUGGUUGGUAGAAGGACAACCUCAUCGUAUUGUAAUUUCGGUAGUAGGAAUGGGGGGUCUAGGCAAGACCACACUUGCCAAAAAAAUCUAUGAUCAUCAAAUGGUUAGAGGACACUUUGAAUGCUAUGCGUGGAUUUCAGUGUCUCAAUCUUACAACAUACAAGAUCUAUUAAGGAGCAUCAUAAAGCAAUUUCGUGAGGCCAGAAAUGAGCUUCCUAUGCCAGGAAUUGACACAAUGGACGAACAAUCAUUGGUAAGAAAAUUAAGAGAUUACUUACAGCUAAAAACGUAUGUGGUCAUAUUUGAUGAUGUAUGGAAAAUUGACUUUUGGGAGGGUAUAAAACAUGCUUUACUUGAUAAUAAUAAGGGUGGUAGAAUUAUGAUCACAACACGUAAUAGGGAGGUGGCUAGUUUUUGUAAAAAAUCUUCACAUGUUCAUGUUUUCGAAUUGCAACCACUAACUCCUGAUGAGGCAUGGGAGCUAUUCUGCAAAAGGGCGUUCCAAUUUGAAUUUGGAGGACGUUGUCCCCCAAUAUUGGAGAAAUUGUCUAAGGACAUUGUUGAGAAGUGCAAAGGCUUACCACUUGCAAUUGUUGCUAUAGGUGGUCUUUUGUCAACCAAAGACAAAACUGUCUUUGAAUGGCAAAACUUGCAUGAUAGUGUUGGGUUUGAGUUAGGAAGAAAUCCCCAUCUUACAGGUGUUGAUAAAAUCUUGUCCUUUAGUUAUGAAGACUUGCCAUGCCACCUCAAAUCUUGCUUAUUAUACCUUGGUAUGUAUCCAGAAGACUACUCCAUCAGUUGCAUCAAAUUGAUUAGACAAUGGAUAGCUGAAGGAUUUGUGAAGGAAUUGGAGGGUAAAACAUUUGAGGAAGUUGCACAAGAAUACUUGACUGAAUUAAUCCAUAGAAGCUUGGUUCAAGUAUCAUUUGUUGACAUAUCUGGGAAAGUUAGAAAAUGUCGACUUCAUGAUAUCUUACGUGAGAUCAUUCUCCGAAAGAUGAAGGAUUUGAGUUUUUGUCAUGUUCUCUCAAAACAAGAGUCUCGCUUUGAAGGAUUAACUCGACGCAUGUCAAUUAAUGGAGUUUCAUGUGUUGUAUUGCAGGAAUUUGGGAACCCUCAUAUUCAUUCUCUUUUAUUUUUCAAUCUUGAUGAAUUUCCAAAGUCCUUUAUGAGUACUUUUGUUGCUAAUUUCAAGCUUUUGAAAGUUAUGGAUUUUGAAGAUGCUUUGUUGGAUUGCAUUCCUGAUGAUGUUGGAAGUUUAUUUCAUUUGAGGUAUUUAAGUUUAAGAAAUACCAAAGUUAAAAUUCUUCCAAAAUCCAUAGGAAAGUUGCAAAAUCUGGAGACUCUAGAUCUAAAGCAGUCCCUAGUUUCUGAUAUACCAAUUGAGAUCAACAACCUUCAUAAGCUACGACAUUUUAUAGCUUACAAUCUUGAUUUCGAAAAAGACAACAGUUUGACUUUGGGAAAAGGGGUAAAGAUACAAAAGGGAGUUGGGUGUUUAAAGAACUUGCAAAAGUUGUAUCAUGUGGAGUUGAAUCAUGGAGGGGUUGAUCUUACUAAAGAGUUGGGAAAGUUAAGACAAUUGAGGAAGCUAGGCGUGAAAAACCUGUCAAAGGAAACCGUGACGGCUUUGUGUGCCUCUGUUGAAAAUAUGAACCACCUUCGAUCUCUUGAUGUAACCUUAAUUAGCGAAGAUGAGAUAGUUGAUUUAAAAUUCAUUUCAUCCCCGCCUAUGUUUCUUCAAAGCCUACAAAUAAAGGGGCGAUUAGAAAAGUUACCAGAAUGGAUUUCAGAACUUCAACAUCUGGUCAAACUAAAGAUUUUAUGGUCCAGGUUAAAUGAUGACCCAUUGAAAGUCCUUCAAAAUCUACCAAACUUACGGGAGCUCAUGAUCUCACGCCAUGCAUACAGCGGAGAACAUUUGCAUUUUAAGCUAGAAGGGUUUCCAAAACUCAAGUGGCUAUGGAUUAGACACUUAAAUGCAUUGCAUUCGCUAUUGAUAGAUGAAGGAGCAUUGCCUGUUCUUGAAUUUCUUUCAAUUGGGCAUUGUCCGGAACUUAAAGAGGUGCCUUCUGGAAUCCAACAUCUGAAAAACCUCAAAGAACUGGGAUUUUGGGAGAUGCCCAAAGAAUUUGAAGAAAGUUUGGAUCCUGAGCAAGGGCUACAUUAUUGGAUCGUUGAGCAUGUACCAGUCAUUAUUCUCUUCCGCAAGGUUCGUAUGGGAUAUUAUGGCUAUGACAACCACAAUCUCCGUUCCAAGCAUUUGGCGGAGUUAAGAGGGCAAAGGCAAACAUUCAACCAGAAUGAGUUUAGAUGCUAAAAUAUCAAUGCUUCAAUUGAGAUAGGUAAACAAUCAAGUUCUACUCAAUAAUGUUAAUACAAAUUCCCUUGAAGACUCUGCUGCCUCUCUCUUACACAAUUUCUUCCACACUUCACGUUGUCUCUCUCUCACAACUUCUUCACAAUCAAUCGUCUCUCACGCCUGGGUUUUUCUUUCAGAGGGCCAAUGCAAAACUAGUCUAUGCUUGCGAAUGGAAUCCCAAUGCCAUUGAGGCACUCCCAACAAAAUCUACAAGCCAAUUCAGUGAGUGAUUGUUGUAUCGUACUUGAAGGAGAUAACCGGAUUAUAGCACCUAAAGAUGUUGCUGAUCGUGUUUGUCUUGGUCUCAUUCCAACAAGUGAGGGUAGCUGGGUCACUACUGUAAGGGCAUGAAGGGGGACAGCACUUGGAAAGCGGGAGUUGUUGAUAGUGAAUACAUUUUUCAUAAGGGUAUACAAACUUUGGGUCGGAGUGGACUGCUUGCAAAAAAGGUCCAAAUAUGUCAGAAAAAAGGACUAUUGAUGAUGUGGUUAAGAAAGAUGGAGAAUAGGACAGCUGUUAUGGAUGGUGUGCUUAUAAAUGCACUCUUGCAUCAACAUCAUCUAGGUAAUAGAAAUGGUUCAGUCUUUACCACACAUGCCUAUGACAGUAUUGUGAAGGAAUUGCAAGAAAAAUUUGAAAAACCAAUAGACAAGCAAAAGGUGAAAAAUCGCAUUAAAACCAUCAAGUAUAAUUGAUCAGACUGCUAUGAUGUGUUUAAGAAUAGAUUGAGUGGUUUUGCUUGGAGUCCAAUCACCAAAAUGUGGAGUGCUGAACCGGAAGUUUGGGAAAUUCUAAUCCAGGUUUGUUUUGGGAAAUUCUAAUCCAGGUUUGUCACUUAUACUCUAGGAGUUCAUAUUGUUUCAUUGAAUUCUAUGGUUUUCUUUUUCAUGUUGUAUCAGUUUACAAUAGGGUAUAGCACCAUGAACUUAUAUUUAGACAGAUAGAAUUAAUUGGAUUGUUUCGAUGAUUCAAAGGACUCCGAUAUAUGCUUUGAUGAGAUUUUGCAUCUAGUCAUGUCUUACACAUUGCAAUGAUAUGUUGUUUGUAACUGGGUUUUACCAUAAAUGCAAGCUUGUUCAGUAGAAUACUAUGGUGCAUAAAUUUGAGUGUUUUCUUGUCUGUGGGGUUAUAAUUUUUUUUUAAUGGUGAUGUGGGGAUGAAACCAAAUGAGCUCGAAUACUUCUAGGAUUAAAUCAUGCAUAGAUAAAUGCAAGACGUCAGUUUUCUGUGCUCAACUCUAUCUAUCAAAUUGUAAACGUGACCUUGUACCGCUACAUGAAAUAUGGUUCUUUGUAGGCUGGGUGUAGGGGAAAUUUUAUAUUUGUUUCACAUGACAAUGGGAUAAUAAGUUUCAUUUUAUAUUUGUACCUUAUUUUGUUAUCAUUUUUUAACAGGCUAAACCUAGAGCAAAAGAGCUUAAGAACAAACUAAUUCCAAACUACGACAAAUUGGUUGAGCUUUAUGGAAAAGAUAGAGCAACUGGGGAACAAUCUGAAAUUGCAUCGGAGAUGAGGCAAUGGUGGGCUACUUCAACCGGAGAGGGCUCCAUGGAGAACAUUGAAGAUAUUGAUCAUUUAGUUGCUCAAAAUGAAGUUACUUUGGAGAGCUGUGAUAAUGUGGGUGAAGCCUCCUCAAAAGCCAAAAAGAGAAAAACAUCAAAAAAUGAGGACGUGGAACAAAUUAUGGGAGCAAUUUAGGAUGUUGCUUUAGCAAUGGGAGAAGGAAAUUCAGCACAGAGAAGAAAAUUUAAUUUUUGAGAGGAGCUUGACACGUCUUCCCAUUCCUGAGCAAGACGUGUUCUAUCUCUUGGAUGAGAUAAGAAUUGAUUCUAGAUUGCAAAUGAGGGUUUAUCUCAAUCUUAUUAAGAAUCCAGAUAUGUUUUAUUGGCUAUCCAGUGGAGGAGCGCAAGGAGCUAUUAUUCACAAUGAUGUCUGAUCCUUAAUUUUCUCUAAAAGUUAGACAAGUAAAUGUUCCAAGACAAUUUUAGCUUCUAAAAACCUUUUCAAUUGAUCAUUGAACUGUAAACUCUUGGGAUUAAUUUUUCUAAAUAGAUGUGUCAGUUACUAUUUAGACAAGUGGAGCCGUAUGAGGUGUAUUAUAAAAUUCUGUCAUUUGCACCAGUUAUGUGUUAAAAGUUAAUGGUAUUUGAUGAAAUAU
Molecule: RNA transcript, 5424 nt
Organism: Quercus lobata
Lineage: Eukaryota; Viridiplantae; Streptophyta; Magnoliopsida; Fagales; Fagaceae
Gene name: disease resistance protein RPM1-like
Exons: 8
Source: RefSeq, a predicted model, not a curated record